CACGGGGGGAGCAAGCGUUGUUCGGAAUCACUGGGCGUAAAGGGCGUGUAGGCGGUCAAGUAAGUGGAAUGUGAAAGCCCCCGGCUUACCCGGGGAUCUGCAUCCCAAACUGCUUGGCUUGAGUACGGGAGAGGAUAGGGGAAUUCCUGGUGUAGCGGUGAAAUGCGUAGAUAUCAGGAGGAACACCGGUGGCGAAGGCGCCUAUCUGGCCCGAUACUGGCGCUGAGGCGCGAAAGCUAGGGGAGCAAACGGG
RNAcentral lists this ribosomal RNA (253 nucleotides) under uncultured bacterium. Its description in RNAcentral is "partial 16S ribosomal RNA". It matches the Rfam family "Bacterial small subunit ribosomal RNA", at positions 524 to 776 of the family's 1533-position model. The record is from RNAcentral.